AUCUUGCUGGGGCCUCCAGAAAAUGUGACUCACACAGCUGAGAAGGAGACACGGACCCCACUUGAAUGCAAUUAA
Molecule: microRNA precursor, 75 nt
Filed under: Otolemur garnettii (small-eared galago)
Lineage: Eukaryota; Metazoa; Chordata; Mammalia; Primates; Galagidae
Description: miRNA (ENSOGAG00000028629.1)
Source: RNAcentral